RNAcentral lists this ribosomal RNA (450 nucleotides) under uncultured bacterium. Its description in RNAcentral is "bacterial SSU rRNA". It matches the Rfam family "Bacterial small subunit ribosomal RNA", at positions 354 to 796 of the family's 1533-position model. The record is from RNAcentral.
GUGGGGAAUUUUGGACAAUGGGCGAAAGCCUGAUCCAGCAAUGCCGCGUGCAGGAUGAAGGCCCUCGGGUUGUAAACUGCUUUUGUACGGAACGAAAAGCCUGGGGCUAAUAUCCCCGGGUCAUGACGGUACCGUAAGAAUAAGCACCGGCUAACUACGUGCCAGCAGCCGCGGUAAUACGUAGGGUGCAAGCGUUAAUCGGAAUUACUGGGCGUAAAGCGUGCGCAGGCGGUUUUGUAAGACAGUGGUGAAAUCCCCGGGCUCAACCUGGGAACUGCCAUUGUGACUGCAAGGCUAGAGUGCGGCAGAGGGGGAUGGAAUUCCGCGUGUAGCAGUGAAAUGCGUAGAUAUGCGGAGGAACACCGAUGGCGAAGGCAAUCCCCUGGGCCUGCACUGACGCUCAUGCACGAAAGCGUGGGGAGCAAACAGGAUUAGAAACCCUUGUAGUCC